This 305-nucleotide ribosomal RNA is filed under the name uncultured bacterium. Its description in RNAcentral is "bacterial SSU rRNA". It matches the Rfam family "Bacterial small subunit ribosomal RNA", at positions 333 to 635 of the family's 1533-position model. The record is from RNAcentral.
UUCUGCCUACGGGGGGCAGCAGUGAGGAAUAUUGGUCAAUGGGCGCGAGCCUGAACCAGCCAAGUCGCGUGAGGGAAGACGGUCCUAUGGAUUGUAAACCUCUUUUGUCAGGGAGCAACGCCGGCUACGUGUAGCCGGACUGAGAGUACCUGAAGAAAAAGCAUCGGCUAACUCCGUGCCAGCAGCCGCGGUAAUACGGAGGAUGCGAGCGUUAUCCGGAUUUAUUGGGUUUAAAGGGUGCGUAGGCGGAAUGCCAAGUCAGCGGUAAAAUCGCGGGGCUCAACCUCGCUCCGCCGUUGCAACUG